GAAAAACCACUUCCUUUCUUGUGUCAAAAUAAGAGUCUCAAGGUAUCAAGCCUGCAGAUUGCAUCAGCAGACCCAGGACUCAAAACAAUAUCAGAAAUUUGCACCAUACAGACGAUAACAGCUUUGACAGUGCUCUGUGGGAUGUUCCUAACUUGGGAAGUAAUCCAACUCUGCUUUAAACUUCUCCACAACUUUAUUCCGGACCUGUCUGCAGUGUUUAUUGGUCUUCAUGAUGCUUCAUCAUCUUUGUUAAUUCUCUAACAAUCCUCAGAUGCACAAAAGUAGAAGAUUAGUGAGGUGAAGGCAGACACCUUGCAAAGAAAAGUGAGUGUACUCAGGAUUCCAGACAUUUCCCGAGGGUGACGUUUUCUCCUCUCCUCUGCCGGUUGUCAACAUGUCCGGGCAUUUACAGGUCUGAUAACUCUGGAGUCCACAACAAGUAAACACAGACGGUGAAGCUUCAUUGGAAAGAUAAAGCUUAUCAAUAUAAUGACUGCAA
This is a long non-coding RNA of Xiphophorus couchianus (Monterrey platyfish), 499 nucleotides long. RefSeq lists it as uncharacterized. The record is from RefSeq and is a predicted model, not a curated record. The transcript has 4 exons. NCBI's taxonomy places the organism in Eukaryota, Metazoa, Chordata, Actinopteri, Cyprinodontiformes, Poeciliidae.